RNAcentral lists this ribosomal RNA (449 nucleotides) under uncultured bacterium. RNAcentral's name for it is "bacterial SSU rRNA". It matches the Rfam family "Bacterial small subunit ribosomal RNA", at positions 429 to 896 of the family's 1533-position model. The record is from RNAcentral.
AGCUCUUUCGCCAGAGAUGAUAAUGACAGUAUCUGGUAAAGAAACCCCGGCUAACUCCGUGCCAGCAGCCGCGGUAAUACGGAGGGGGUUAGCGUUGUUCGGAAUUACUGGGCGUAAAGCGCACGUAGGCGGAUCAAAAAGUUGGGGGUGAAAUCCCAGGGCUCAACCCUGGAACGGCCUCCAAAACUCCUGGUCUUGAGUUCGAGAGAGGUGAGUGGAAUUCCGAGUGUAGAGGUGAAAUUCGUAGAUAUUCGGAGGAACACCAGUGGCGAAGGCGGCUCACUGGCUCGAUACUGACGCUGAGGUGCGAAAGUGUGGGGAGCAAACAGGAUUAGAUACCCUGGUAGUCCACACCGUAAACGAUGAAUGCCAGUCGUCGGGUAGUAUACUGCUCGGUGACACACCUAACGGAUUAAGCAUUCCGCCUGGGGAGUACGGUCGCAAGAUUA